AACGCACAUUGCGCCCAUUAGUAUUCUAGUGGGCAUGCCUGUUCGAGCGUCAUUUCAACCCUUAAGCCUUUUGUUGCUUAGUGUUGGGAGCCUACGGCCUUCUGUAGCUCCUUAAAGUUAGUGGCAGAGUCGGUUUCACACUCUAGACGCAGUAAAUUUUUAUCUCGCCUAUGGAUGAGCCGGUCCCUUGCCGUAAAACCCUUUACUUUUUAAAGGUUGACCUCGGAUCAGGUAGGAAUACCCGCUGAACUUAA
Molecule: unclassified non-coding RNA, 254 nt
Filed under: uncultured Xylariales
Lineage: Eukaryota; Fungi; Ascomycota; Sordariomycetes; Xylariales
Description: sequence contains 5.8S rRNA gene, ITS2, 28S rRNA gene
Source: RNAcentral